AAUUCACUAGUGAUUUUGGAGGGCAAGUCUGGUGCCCGCAGCCGCGGUAAUUCCAGCUCCAAUAGCGUGUAUUAAAGUUGUUGCAGUUAAAAAGCUCGUAGUUGAAUUUCGGGAUCAGUAUGUUGGUCGUGCUUCGGUACGUACUGUCAUUACUGGUUUCUCCCUUCUGAAGAACCUUGAUGUCAUUAAUUUGGUGUCUUGGGGAAUCAGGACUGUUACUUUGAAAAAAUUAGAGUGUUUAAAGCAGGCAUACGCUUGAAUACAUUAGCAUGGAAUAAUGAAAUAGGACGUUUGAUUCUAUUUUGUUGGUUUCUAGGAUCGACGUAAUGAUUAAUAGGGAUAGUUGGGGGCAUUAGUAUUCAAUUGUCAGAGGUGAAAUUCUUGGAUUUAUUGAAGACUAACUACUGCGAAAGCAUUUGCCAAGGAUGUUUUCAUUAAUCAAGAACGAAAGUUAGGGGAUCGAAGACGAUCAGAUACCGUCGUAGUCUUAACCAUAAACUAUGCCGACCAGGGAUCGGAUGAUGUUAUUUUUAAUGACUCAUUCGGCGCCUUACGGGAAACAAUCG
RNAcentral lists this ribosomal RNA (566 nucleotides) under uncultured Glomus. RNAcentral's name for it is "SSU rRNA". It matches the Rfam family "Eukaryotic small subunit ribosomal RNA", at positions 528 to 1103 of the family's 1831-position model. Lineage: Eukaryota; Fungi; Glomeromycota; Glomeromycetes; Glomerales; Glomeraceae. The record is from RNAcentral.